GUGGGGAAUAUUGGACAAUGGGCGCAAGCCUGAUCCAGCAAUGCCGCGUGGGUGAAGAAGGUCUUCGGAUCGUAAAGCCCUUUCGACAGGGACGAUGAUGACGGUACCUGUAGAAGAAGCCCCGGCUAACUUCGUGCCAGCAGCCGCGGUAAUACGAAGGGGGCUAGCGUUACUCGGAAUUACUGGGCGUAAAGGGCGCGUAGGCGGCUCUGUUAGUCAGGCGUGAAAUUCCUGGGCUUAACCUGGGGACUGCGCUUGAUACUGCAGGGCUUGCGGCCGAGAGAGGGUGGUGGAAUUCCCAGUGUAGAGGUGAAAUUCGUAGAUAUUGGGAAGAACACCGGUGGCGAAGGCGACCACCUGGCUCGGUUCUGACGCUGAGGCGCGACAGCGUGGGGAGCAAACAGGAUUAGAUACCCGUGUAGUCC
This 425-nucleotide ribosomal RNA is filed under the name uncultured bacterium. RNAcentral's name for it is "partial 16S ribosomal RNA". It matches the Rfam family "Bacterial small subunit ribosomal RNA", at positions 354 to 796 of the family's 1533-position model. The record is from RNAcentral.